UUCCUCAAGUGCUGGGCUGUGG
RNAcentral lists this non-coding RNA (22 nucleotides) under Mus musculus (house mouse). The record is from RNAcentral. Lineage: Eukaryota; Metazoa; Chordata; Mammalia; Rodentia; Muridae.